Telopea speciosissima is the source of this 241-nucleotide long non-coding RNA. RefSeq lists it as uncharacterized. The transcript has 4 exons. Lineage: Eukaryota; Viridiplantae; Streptophyta; Magnoliopsida; Proteales; Proteaceae. The record is from RefSeq and is a predicted model, not a curated record.
AUGAGAAAGAGAGAAAGAGAGAGAGAGAGAGAGAGAGAAAUGUCGCAGGUUCUUGGUUCCACCGCUAAUAUGGCGUUGCCCACUCCAUGUCUCAAAUUGAGGUACCCUCUCAGCCUGCGAACAACCAAUUUCUUGAAAGAACGGCCAUUUUUCCGUUUUCACCGGCUCUCCUCCUCGCAACGUCUCCGAUGUCUUCCUCCUAUUGCGAAUGUUAUUCUGCCGGCAUUUGAUUCCCAGGUGG